UCAGAGCAGCAGAGAAAUCACCGUUCCCCAGGCCUUGCCGGGACUACGAGGCAGCAGAGAGCAUUGUGGCAGGACGGUUUUUCCUUCUGAAGGGUGGUUAAUGAGCAAUGUAGGUGAAGACCCCUGAGAGAUACCUGGGCAUCCUGCCCACCCAAAUAGAAGACCGCGUUGAGAUGGCAGUCGGAGAUGGAGCCCAUGACCAGAGAGAGGGACAGAGGAGAGGAGCGCGGGGACAGUGCCGGACACAAAGUAAAAGCGCUGCCAGUUCAUUUAGGUCUGAAUGAUUUUAAGAAGUCACUAAGGAGCAGCCCUGUCACAACAGCCUCCAAAGGACAGAGAGUGAACCACAGAGGAAAUUCGAAUGCAUGUACAGUGGGUUCCAUUACCAGGGAGCCUGAGCUUGGGACAAGAGGAGCUCAUCACCACCAGAAAAUACUACCAACAUGCCCAAGAGUUUGUUUCCCAUACUUUUAAAGAAAAAGAAAAAUGGAUGGUUCUGAAAUCACCUGGGUUUGUUUUAUUACAUUAUAUCUUCUGGCAAGAUCAGUGAUGGCAGAUGUGAUUCAGCAAUAGAAGCAUGGCUGUACUGGUAGGUUUUUAAAAUAAAUUCAAGGGCUGUACUUUCUGACUGGCUACCUCCCUGUGGUUUGGCUUUUUAAUGGAGUUCAAUAGGCUUCAUGUUUCUUAUUAUGAUUUCCUUUAAAAUCUCUGUAUACGAUAAUGUUUGUGCUACUGGAUAUUGUUCUAGUUUUAUUUAAAUGCCACAUCUUCAACACAGUAUAGUAAAGAUGUGCUAAUUAAACUCAAUCUAUUUUACAUCAA
Long non-coding RNA from Homo sapiens (human), 822 nucleotides. RefSeq lists it as uncharacterized. The transcript is spliced from 2 exons. Lineage: Eukaryota; Metazoa; Chordata; Mammalia; Primates; Hominidae. The record is from RefSeq and is a predicted model, not a curated record.